GUUGUUAGCGCAUUAAGAGUUUCACAGGCCGUCAAACUGUUUUUCUUCUAACAACACGAACACCACUGCUUUUCAUAUUUAACUCCAUUUUUGUAUCCGCCCAGAUCGCUUAUGUUCUGGGCUUUUUUUU
Molecule: antisense RNA, 130 nt
Filed under: Vibrio diazotrophicus
Lineage: Bacteria; Pseudomonadati; Pseudomonadota; Gammaproteobacteria; Vibrionales; Vibrionaceae
Description: Vibrio regulatory RNA of OmpA
Rfam family: Vibrio regulatory RNA of OmpA
Source: RNAcentral